This 431-nucleotide ribosomal RNA is filed under the name uncultured bacterium. Its description in RNAcentral is "partial 16S ribosomal RNA". It matches the Rfam family "Bacterial small subunit ribosomal RNA", at positions 29 to 507 of the family's 1533-position model. The record is from RNAcentral.
AACGAACGCUGGCGGCAGGCUUAACACAUGCAAGUCGAACGCCCCGCCAGGGGAGUGGCAGACGGGUGAGUAACGCGUGGGAACAUACCCUUUUCUACGGAAUAGCUCUGGGAAACUGGAAUUAAUACCGUAUACGCCCUACGGGGGAAAGAUUUAUCGGGGAAGGAUUGGCCCGCGUUGGAUUAGCGAGUUGGUGGGGUAAAGGCCUACCAAGGCGACGAUCCAUAGCUGGUCUGAGAGGAUGAUCAGCCACAUUGGGACUGAGACCCGGCCCAAACUCCUACGGGAGGCAGCAGUGGGGAAUAUUGGACAAUGGGCGCAAGCCUGAUCCAGCCAUGCCGCGUGAGUGAUGAAGGCCUUAGGGUUGUAAAGCUCUUUCACCGAUGAAGAUAAUGACGGUAGUCGGAGAAGAAGCCCCGGCUAACUUCGUG